UUAAGUGUAAAUAUAAAUAUAUAUUUAUAUAUUAAAUAGUUUUAUUAAAUUAAUUAAAGAAAAGAAAGAAAAGAAAGGACAAAAAGAAGAAAAGGAGAAGAAAAUUUCAUUUUCUCUUUUCUUCUUCUUCUUCUCUUCCCUUCACCGCCAAGUUUGAAGACAUCCAAGUUCCCUUUAUUUUUUUUUCUUUUUCCUUCUUCAAUUUGCAGAGAACUUCUAAGAGAGAGUUUGGAAGAAGAAGAGAAAUUUUACUAGAAUUUUUAGGUUGAAGAAGAAGAGGAGAACUCAAGCAAAGUGUAUCAAUGGCUGAAUUUUAGUUCAUUCUGCACAUCACUGGUUUUUAAUUCGGUUUGAACUCUUCAAAAGGAAUUAAGAGGGCAGUUGGUUUUCACUUGAAAUCAGGAGGUCUCUUGUUUUUCUUGUAUUUCAGAGUGUAUCGGUGUAGUUAGAAUCUCUAUUUGGAACAAGUUAAAGAGGUCGCGAUUCUGGAAGUGGUUCUGUUUUGAGGGUUAUAUGUGUUUAUGCACGGGGAAUCAGAUUUAUAUGUCUUCAGGCCGAGAAGAAUUAAACCGAGCUUAUAGACCAAGGAUCUAGCCCAAGACUGUGAGUGACAAAACCAACUUUGAAAUAUUUUCCAUAAUUGUUAUUAUGAUUGAAUGCGAUAAAUGUUUAUUUACGAAGCCAUGAAAGGUAUUUGAAUUUCAUGACUAUUUUCAAGUAUACAUUUGGAGACUAGAUUUCAUAAAGAAAUUUAUGCUAGCACGUAGAUUUUAAAUGUUUGGAAAGUAUUUAAACCACAAUAUUUUAAGCAAAGCAUGAAUUAGUAUGAAGUUUUGUUUUAAGAACUACAAUUUUCCACGAAAGAGCUGAGUAAAGUUCGAGCUUUGUGUAAAAUUUAUAAGCAGGCAUGUUUUAAUAUUUUAUGAUGAUUUAUGAAAUUUUCAUUAACUACAUGACUGAGAUCUUGAGCCUGAGGCUAGAGAUUACCGUGUGCACACUGGUUAGAUUUCGUUGUUGACGUUGAGUGUACUCCGUAACAACGAUGCUGUCGUGAGUGCUGGGCGGGCCCCACUACGACAAAGACGAUGGGAGUGCUGGGUGGGCCCCACUACAUCGUAGUGCUUGUAAACGUUGUUGUACUAGGUGUACCCUACACAACGUAGAUUCGUCAUGUUAGUUAAAAUGCUUCGAUAUACUUGAUAUGCUUUGCUAGAUUUCAAUGAUGAACAUGCUGAGUAUUUAAGGAAGCUAUUCUUACUAUUACACAUUUACAUUUACGACUUGUAUAAACAGAUUUAUAUGUGUAAAGUUUUCACGUGCUCUUAUCUUUAAAUUCAUAGUUUUAAACUGAGUCACUCACUGAGCUUCAUAGCUCACCCUUUCCAAAAUGUUUUACCCAUUUUCCAGGUAGAGAUCGACUUCCCGGUGCCUGAUAGACUGCCUUAGUCUGCGGAAGCUUCAUUAUCGAUUGCCAGUACGUGUUUUGAGUUGGGCAUAGAGUCUGUUGUGUUGUGGUGUAUAUACACCCUUGUACGUUAUAGAUACUCCACAGUUUGUAUAAGCUUUAGGAGCUGUAGUUGUGUAACUUUUGUUGCUUAUAUUUUGAUUAAGGUGUCUUUAGGUUUACUCGUGAAAUCGGUAAAUUUUGAGGUACACUUCAUGUAUGUGUUUGACUAGCUGUGUUUGACUAGCCUAGGAUCCGCUGUGUUUUGUGGCAUGUACAAUAGUUUAUAUACUAGAUUGACAAGUUCAUCACAUGAAAGUUUUAAGCAGAGUCGACAGAUACAGGUAUAGAAAAGCGUUGUUCGUCGGCUUCACGCCAUCUUUCGGUCUAAGGUAGCUGGUAGUCCGGGAGGGGGUGUGACAUUUCUCUUUUCUCUUCUUAGUCUGAUGAAAAUCUAUUUUCUAUAUCAUCUAAAAAGGAGUAAGAAGAAGAGGGGAUGAAAUACCCUCAAAACCCACUUCGCAGUAGACGAAAGAAAGAGGAUUAUCCUGGUACACGAGGAUCCCCACUAUCAGGCAUUGGAUGAGGCCCACGUAGUGGGAAAGGCCUCAAUCACUCAAUCCCAAGUUGGGGGGAAGUCAACCUACUCAUACAAAAGAGCAGAUUGGGAGGAAAAAAGACGGCUCGACUCUCUUUCGGAACAAGCUGGGAUUCAACAACUCUCACUAUCUAGCCUUGGAGGCACUUGCUCAACCAAAGAAAGAACGUCAAGCCAAUCAACCCACAAGAGGAAAGGAGGAAUUCAGUUGCUUGAUCAUUACAUGGGGGUUAGGGCAAUGAAAUGACGGAAUAAAGAAUGAGAAGGAUAGGAAGCCGAAGUACCAACCAUAGGCUUGAAUCCUAGUAGUAGUUAAUGAAACCAGAAGCAUGAAAAGAAACUUAAGGAUUAAUAAUCAGAUUCCCACCCCUUCGAUCAUUCUUUGAAUCUCCGCUCUACUUCAACUAUAUAAAACAACUUAAGGAUUACUAGGAGCCUUUUACA
Cucumis melo (muskmelon) is the source of this 2486-nucleotide long non-coding RNA. RefSeq lists it as uncharacterized. The transcript has 4 exons. The record is from RefSeq and is a predicted model, not a curated record. Lineage: Eukaryota; Viridiplantae; Streptophyta; Magnoliopsida; Cucurbitales; Cucurbitaceae.